GACGAACGCUGGCGGCGUGCUUAACACAUGCAAGUGGAGCGACGAACCAGGCUUCGGCCUGGGGCAGAGCCGCGAACGGGUGAGUAACACGUGGGUGACCUGCCCCGAUGACCGGGACAACCCGAGGAAACUCGGGCUAAUACCGGAUGUGUCCCCAGCCAUAGUGGGCUGGGUGGAAAGGUAGCUUCGGCUUCCGCAUCGGGAUGGGCCCGCGGCGCAUUAGCUUGUUGGUGAGGUAAAGGCUCACCAAGGCGACGAUGCGUAGCUGGUCUGAGAG
RNAcentral lists this ribosomal RNA (277 nucleotides) under uncultured bacterium. RNAcentral's name for it is "partial 16S ribosomal RNA". It matches the Rfam family "Bacterial small subunit ribosomal RNA", at positions 28 to 298 of the family's 1533-position model. The record is from RNAcentral.